This 850-nucleotide ribosomal RNA is filed under the name Streptomyces sp. RNAcentral describes it as "bacterial SSU rRNA". It matches the Rfam family "Bacterial small subunit ribosomal RNA", at positions 58 to 921 of the family's 1533-position model. The record is from RNAcentral. Lineage: Bacteria; Bacillati; Actinomycetota; Actinomycetes; Kitasatosporales; Streptomycetaceae.
CAAGUCGAACGAUGAACCUCCUUCGGGAGGGGAUUAGUGGCGAACGGGUGAGUAACACGUGGGCAAUCUGCCCUUCACUCUGGGACAAGCCCUGGAAACGGGGUCUAAUACCGGAUACGACCUGCCAAGGCAUCUUGGCGGGUGGAAAGCUCCGGCGGUGAAGGAUGAGCCCGCGGCCUAUCAGCUUGUUGGUGAGGUAACGGCUCACCAAGGCGACGACGGGUAGCCGGCCUGAGAGGGCGACCGGCCACACUGGGACUGAGACACGGCCCAGACUCCUACGGGAGGCAGCAGUGGGGAAUAUUGCACAAUGGGCGAAAGCCUGAUGCAGCGACGCCGCGUGAGGGAUGACGGCCUUCGGGUUGUAAACCUCUUUCAGCAGGGAAGAAGCGAGAGUGACGGUACCUGCAGAAGAAGCGCCGGCUAACUACGUGCCAGCAGCCGCGGUAAUACGUAGGGCGCAAGCGUUGUCCGGAAUUAUUGGGCGUAAAGAGCUCGUAGGCGGCUUGUCGCGUCGGUUGUGAAAGCCCGGGGCUUAACCCCGGGUCUGCAGUCGAUACGGGCAGGCUAGAGUUCGGUAGGGGAGAUCGGAAUUCCUGGUGUAGCGGUGAAAUGCGCAGAUAUCAGGAGGAACACCGGUGGCGAAGGCGGAUCUCUGGGCCGAUACUGACGCUGAGGAGCGAAAGCGUGGGGAGCGAACAGGAUUAGAUACCCUGGUAGUCCACGCCGUAAACGGUGGGCACUAGGUGUGGGCAACAUUCCACGUUGUCCGUGCCGCAGCUAACGCAUUAAGUGCCCCGCCUGGGGAGUACGGCCGCAAGGCUAAAACUCAAAGGAAUUGACGGGGGCC